AAAGCAUAACUCAUUUUUAUGAUCAUUUCCAUCUACCAGCGUUUUCGCUGAGAGCGGCUUGGAGAGAAAAAUAAUCAUGUCACUCUCCUGUUAGACCUGACACAGUGGCCCUGCACCGUCUAUCAACAAUAUUUAUUACCCAACUGACUGUAACCCACAUCUUACACCGCUAGAGAUGUUCUGAUACCAGCAUCCUCAAUGCCCCUGAAACUGCCA
This 216-nucleotide unclassified non-coding RNA is filed under the name Hevea brasiliensis (rubber tree). The record is from RNAcentral. Lineage: Eukaryota; Viridiplantae; Streptophyta; Magnoliopsida; Malpighiales; Euphorbiaceae.